RNAcentral lists this ribosomal RNA (1073 nucleotides) under Bacillus xiamenensis. RNAcentral describes it as "bacterial SSU rRNA". It matches the Rfam family "Bacterial small subunit ribosomal RNA", at positions 32 to 1089 of the family's 1533-position model. Lineage: Bacteria; Bacillati; Bacillota; Bacilli; Caryophanales; Bacillaceae. The record is from RNAcentral.
ACCAUUGGCGGCGUGCUAAUACAUGCAAGUCGAGCGGACAGAAGGGAGCUUGCUCCCGGAUGUUAGCGGCGGACGGGUGAGUAACACGUGGGUAACCUGCCUGUAAGACUGGGAUAACUCCGGGAAACCGGAGCUAAUACCGGAUAGUUCCUUGAACCGCAUGGUUCAAGGAUGAAAGACGGUUUCGGCUGUCACUUACAGAUGGACCCGCGGCGCAUUAGCUAGUUGGUGAGGUAACGGCUCACCAAGGCGACGAUGCGUAGCCGACCUGAGAGGGUGAUCGGCCACACUGGGACUGAGACACGGCCCAGACUCCUACGGGAGGCAGCAGUAGGGAAUCUUCCGCAAUGGACGAAAGUCUGACGGAGCAACGCCGCGUGAGUGAUGAAGGUUUUCGGAUCGUAAAGCUCUGUUGUUAGGGAAGAACAAGUGCAAGAGUAACUGCUUGCACCAUGACGGUACCUAACCAGAAAGCCACGGCUAACUACGUGCCAGCAGCCGCGGUAAUACGUAGGUGGCAAGCGUUGUCCGGAAUUAUUGGGCGUAAAGGGCUCGCAGGCGGUUUCUUAAGUCUGAUGUGAAAGCCCCCGGCUCAACCGGGGAGGGUCAUUGGAAACUGGGAAACUUGAGUGCAGAAGAGGAGAGUGGAAUUCCACGUGUAGCGGUGAAAUGCGUAGAGAUGUGGAGGAACACCAGUGGCGAAAGCGACUCUCUGGUCUGUAACUGACGCUGAGGAGCGAAAGCGUGGGGAGCGAACAGGAUUAGAUACCCUGGUAGUCCACGCCGUAAACGAUGAGUGCUAAGUGUUAGGGGUUUCCGCCCCUUAGUGCUGCAGCUAACGCAUAAGCACUCCGCCUGGGGGAGUACGGUCGCAGACUGAAACUCAAAGGAAUGACGGGGGCCGCACAGCGGUGGAGCAUGUGGUUUAAUUCGAAGCACGCGAGAACUUACAGUCUUGACAUUCUUCUGACACCCUAAAGAUAGGGCCUUGCUCGGACAGAUUGACAGGUGGUGCAUGAUUGUCCUCAGUCUGUCUGAAUGUGGUAGUUCGACGAGGCACUGACUUAGUGCAG